Molecule: transfer RNA, 87 nt
Filed under: Phycisphaerae bacterium
Lineage: Bacteria; Pseudomonadati; Planctomycetota; Phycisphaerae
Description: tRNA-Ser
Rfam family: tRNA
About the family: Transfer RNA (tRNA) molecules are approximately 80 nucleotides in length. Their secondary structure includes four short double-helical elements and three loops (D, anti-codon, and T loops).
Source: RNAcentral
GGAGAGGUGCCAGAGCGGCUGAAUGGGCCGGUCUCGAAAACCGGUGUGGCGUUCGCGUCACCGAGGGUUCGAAUCCCUCCCUCUCCG